This 351-nucleotide ribosomal RNA is filed under the name Salmonella enterica subsp. enterica serovar Oranienburg. RNAcentral's name for it is "bacterial LSU rRNA". It matches the Rfam family "Bacterial large subunit ribosomal RNA", at positions 2592 to 2925 of the family's 2925-position model. The record is from RNAcentral. RNAcentral also lists the same sequence under 1 other name. Lineage: Bacteria; Pseudomonadati; Pseudomonadota; Gammaproteobacteria; Enterobacterales; Enterobacteriaceae.
AGUGGUACGCGAGCUGGGUUUAGAACGUCGUGAGACAGUUCGGUCCCUAUCUGCCGUGGGCGCUGGAGAACUGAGGGGGGCUGCUCCUAGUACGAGAGGACCGGAGUGGACGCAUCACUGGUGUUCGGGUUGUCAUGCCAAUGGCACUGCCCGGUAGCUAAAUGCGGAAGAGAUAAGUGCUGAAAGCAUCUAAGCACGAAACUUGCCCCGAGAUGAGUUCUCCCUGAGACUUUAAGUCUCCUGAAGGAACGUUGAAGACGACGACGUUGAUAGGCCGGGUGUGUAAGCGCAGCGAUGCGUUGAGCUAACCGGUACUAAUGAACCGUGAGGCUUAACCUUACAACGCCGAAG